AGGGAUGCAGUCUGGGAAACGUAGUUGCAAACCUAGCGACUUUGUUGUUAGAUUCAAUGACUUUUCAGACCCCCUAACGACUUUUUUUUUAGAAAGAAAGGGAAUUUUAUCGACUUCCUCUGGAGUUUAGAGACUCUGACAUGAAGCAGGCUUUCCUUACUGAGGAGUUAGCAACGCUGCUAAGGGUGCAGAGCCACACAUGCGCUCCGAGCUCUGCAUGGGAGACUAAAGCUGACAGAGCUGCAGCAGUUAGCAGGUUUCACCCUCAGAGACCACCAGGGGUUCAUGUUGAGGCAUUUUCAGUUUUUUUUUUUUUUUUGCCAUAGACACUGUCAGCACAAUCUGCAGUUACACUAACAAAAAUGCUGCAAAAAACAAAGAAUUAUGGAAAAAUUACACAUGGACUAACAUAGAGGAGGAUCUACACAAGUUUUUUACAUCAUGUUUUACAUCAUGCAUCAUUUACAUCAUGUUUUUUUGUAUUGGCAUAAAUAAAAAGUGACAUUUGUGAGACUAUACAGUGUUUUGUAAAUAAUUUUACAAAGAACGCCUGGGCCAUUGCCUGCAUUUUGAUGUAAAUAGAGGUAAAUUACUAUGUUCUUUGUUAAAAAUUUGCAUAUGUUUUGAAGUUUACAAUUUUUAUUUGAAGUUUAAGUUUUAAAAACAGUUCAUCACACAUAUUUGUGGUUUAAUUUCACAUUAAUUUCCAUAUUGUAUAAAUGACUGGAAAAAACUUGAGCCCCUGCCCCUGUAUAAUCAUGUGCACGUCCCUGUUCUAGCUCCAAGGUGGAUCUUCACUGCUCAUGUUCUCCUCAGAAGUAGUCACCUCACUCCCCUCAGGUUACUGUACACAUGCACCAACUAUCUGCUUCAGGUUUGGAUGGAGCUUCAUGGUUGUCUUUUGGAGAAAUGAACAGUCAAGUUGUGUUUGAAAUUUGAUUUUUUUCAGGGGCAAAAGGAAGCCUCUGCAUUCUUGUCAAAUAUGUAAACAGCAUGUUUUUGCAGGUGCUAAAAAACAGACUCUGAGUGUGUGUGUGUGUGUGUGUGUGUGUGUGUGUGUGUGUGUGUUGGCGUGUGUGUAUAUGUGUGUGUGUCCGGCAGUACUCUGUACUCCUGCAGUGGCCAAAAAGACUUUUAAGAAUGUGGAUUUUUGGGUCAUCUUUGGCGCCCCCUAGAACUGCAGUACUCUGUACUCCUGCAGUGGCCAAAAUGACUUUUAAGAAUGUGGAUUUUUGGGUCAUCUUUGGCGCCCCCUAGAACCUAAACCAUGGGGUGCAGCGUCAUGAUUUUUACAACUUUGAAUGGCCAUGGGGUGUAGAUUGCCCUGAGCAAAUUUGGUAUCGGUGGGACGAAAGCCUUAGGAGGAGAUAGCCACAUUCCAAUGUGUGCGAAUCGGCAAAAAAUGCGAAAUAGCCCUUUAACCAUACAUUUGACAUAUACGUGCCUAUUGACUUUUUUGUAGAUCUUAUUGAGAUACACGUGAUUGUCAAAUUGUGUGUCAAUAUGACAAAGUGUAUAGGCGUGACACUCAACAAUGUGUAUUUUUACCUUAGGAGACAAGAAAAAAUGGACUUUUUUCUCCUGCCAUGGGGGGGGCGCUCUUUUGGGGAGUAAAAAUUCCUUCACAAAUGUGUUGAUGGCUGGACAUUGCAUCAUCCUAGAAAACUUGGAGGCCAGUGAGGACAAAAAUAAAAAGUUAUAAGACUUUUAAGAAUGUGGAUUUUUGUGUUAUCUUUGGCGCCCCCUAGAAAGUAAACCGUGGGGUGCAGCAUCAUGAUUUGUACAACUUUUAAUGCCCAUGGGGUGUAGAUUGGCCUGAGCAAAUUUGGUGCCGGUGGAACGAAAGCCUUCGGAGGAGUUAGCGAAAUUCCAAUGUGUGCGGAUCGGCAAAAAAAGCGAAAUAGCCCUUUAACCGUACAUUUGACAGAUACGCGCGCACUGACUUUUUCGUAGAUCUUAUUGAGAUACACAUGUGUGUCAAAUUUUGUGUCAUUUUGACAAAGCGU
Molecule: non-coding RNA, 2006 nt
Organism: Xyrichtys novacula (pearly razorfish)
Lineage: Eukaryota; Metazoa; Chordata; Actinopteri; Labriformes; Labridae
Source: the annotation of a GenBank genome assembly